This 2164-nucleotide ribosomal RNA is filed under the name Triticum aestivum (bread wheat). Its description in RNAcentral is "partial small subunit ribosomal RNA". The record is from RNAcentral. Lineage: Eukaryota; Viridiplantae; Streptophyta; Magnoliopsida; Poales; Poaceae.
GGACGCGACACGCGGUCGCCGCAUGCCCCCGCACCCCACACCCGCCCUGCAUCAUCAGCGUGCACUCCACCACCGCCGAAGCAACUAGUAGCAGCCAGACCCGGGCCUCGGAGCCGAGCCGAGCCUGCCUGCCUGGCCUGCGCGGCGCCCGAGGGCCCCGAGGGACGCGCCGCGCCAUCGCCGUCGCCAUGAGGAGGGCGCAGCCGCAGCAGGGGACGGGGGUGGUGCGCGUCGACAAGGCGUCGCCCGCGUCCAGCUUCCGCCAGCUCGACGACGCCUUCCUGCAGAAACAAACAAAAAUCUGGCUUGGCGAAGUUCUCCAUGUCAGGUUUGAUGAAGACAUUUUGGUAGCAGACCUUCUAGGUGACGGGGAAUUGCUAUUUCAAGUUUCCAAAGUGAUAUGGAAGAGGCUACUCAGAAAGAACAAAGAACAACUCAAGCAAUCAAAAGUAUAUAUUUAUGAGAGACCAUCUUUUGGUAAAAGCAACGGGAAAUAUACGCCCUAUCCAAAAGUAGACUCGUUUCUAAAGGUAUGCCAAACCCUUGGAUUAGCUGGAAUUGAUUUGUUUACCCCUUCUGAUGUGGUCGAGAAAAGAAAUGUUCGAAAAGUCUGCAUGUGCAUACGCUCACUCUCUAAAAAGGCCGGGAUGAUGCAGCUAAACGUGCCUGAUUUUGAUGUUGUUACCCACACAAUAGCCAUGCCCAACUAUAUUGUUGGAGGCAUCCGCAGAAGUCUGGAGCAGCCACAAUGCAGUUCAUCUUGUUCGAGUGGGCACAGUCCGCGUGCCAUUUCUAAAAGCAUAUUUGAAGGACAGAGUGAUGAGCAAAGCGACCGACAUUAUGACUCUGAUGAAGCAGAGAGCAGUCUCUUUGUGCUAGGGCCUCAGGAUUCUCUUGAUGACGACAAACUUUCUGAGCUUUUGCAGUUGGGUGAUGCCCCCAAGGAAGAAAGAGAAGGCUAUGGAGACAGUGGUCAUGAAAUGCCCAAAGAGAAGUCGCUAGCUGAAUCAGCGGGAUCACUUGAUGCUGGUGUUAUGGGUGCUGAUACUACGAAUUCAACUCCUUUUCAUGAGAACCUACUCUCACCAACAGAUCGGUGUUCAACAACUAGAAGAAAUAAAUGUUCACUAAGUUCAGAAGAGUCAGACUCCAUAAACAGUUAUUUAGCGUGCGACAGUAGCAAGAAUGAUGUGGGCGGUCCUCCUGUCGAAGUGUCUGAAAGGAUUCAUGAUGGACACGUCGAACCUUCACAUGAUUCUGUUCAGGGAAAUGGGAAAAUAUUCACUGAUCAUCCAGAAAAAGACGAUAGCGCAAGGACUAAGGAUCACAUGGAUGCUUGCAAAUCCGACGAACUGGAUAAAACUGAAAACAACAGAAAUGCUCAGGGGACCGGGAACAAUGCUCCCAAAUCAGGGAAAGGAGUGCUGAAGUCAGUUGCUGGAGGGAUCACGCUCAUCGGCGCGGUGUUCUUCGUAGCUCAUCUCAGGAGGAGCAAGGGGAUAAGCUUUACAACAAUUUUGCCUUCACUUUCUGAAAAAUCAAUUCAGAGCGACUCAAGGGCGAAGAAUGUAGACAACGGAAAGACAACCGAGGUGUAUCCAGGCGGAUGGCUCAAGGUUUGACAGGAGGGACAUGCCGAAUAAUCGGGCGCAAUUUGAAAGGUUAUGUCUGAUGUAAAUUCAUAUCUACCGUACUGAAGGAGCGAUAUAUACCAGCAGUAUCGUAAUUUGGUUAUAGAGCUGUGUCAAGUGACCUAAAGUUAAAUGUGUUAUAUAUUACCGUUCUUUCCAUGUAAAGAAUUGUAUAGCUUAUUUAUCACUGUUCAUAAUUCAGAGCAACUUUCUACUAGCUUCAGGCUGCGUUGUCAUGGAGGUGAAAUAUGUCCAACCUUUUGAACUAGCUUUUGCUUACUUUCUUGUUUGGUUAACCAACUUUUUUUGUUUUAGUGGCUAUUUUUCACAGCAGAUUAAUACGGUUUUGUCAAUUCUGAGUCGUCAAGGCCUCCUUUGGUUCAUAUGGUAGGAAUAUCAUAGGAAUAGGAAACUUGCAGGAAAUGAGAUGUCAUGUCGUGUUGUAUGGAUCGUUUAUUUGGUGGUCGUUGCUUUAUAUAUAAAGCGGGGCGAAAGCCUUUUUCGAUAAUGGGAUGUCAUGUAUCUCAAAACCU